CAUCCCGAACACGACCGUUAAGCCCUCCAGCGCCGAUGGUACUUGGACCGCAGGGUCCUGGGAGAGUAGGACGUCGCCAAGC
Molecule: ribosomal RNA, 82 nt
Filed under: Paenibacillus peoriae
Lineage: Bacteria; Bacillati; Bacillota; Bacilli; Caryophanales; Paenibacillaceae
Source: RNAcentral